GCAGGCGGACCGGCAGGCAUCUCGUGAAAUCCCACGGCUCAACCGUGGAAUUGCGGGGUGAACCGCCGGUCUCGAGGCAGGUAGGGGUCAGCGGAACUAUGGGUGGAGCGGUGAAAUGCGUAGAUAUCCAUGGGAACGCCAAUGGCGAAGGCAGCUGACUGGGCCUGUCCUGACGCUCAGGCACGAAAGCGUGGGUAGCGAACGGGAUUAGAUACCCCGGUAGUCCACGCCGUAAACGAUGCACACUAGGUCGGGGGAGCUCUCACGUUUUCCCGGCCGAAGGAAAACUGUUAAGUGUGCCGCCUGGGGAGUACGGUCGCAAGGCUAAAACUCAAAGGAAUUGACGGGGGCUCACACAAGCGGUGGAGCAUGUUGCUUAAUUCGAGGCAACGCGAAGAACCUUACCUGGGCUUGACAUGUACGGAUUAGCCUUCUGAAAAGUUGGUGACGCCCUUUGGGUGGAACGUGCACAGGUGCUGCAUGGCUGUCGUCAGCUCGUGCUGUGAAGUGUCGGGUUAAGUCCCUUAACGAGCGCAACCCCUAUCGUUAGUUACUAACGCGUGAUGGCGAGGACUCUAGCGAGACUGCCGGUGUCAAACCGGAGGAAGGUGGGGAUGACGUCAAGUCCUCAUGGCCCUUACGCCCAGGGUUGCAAACGUGCUACAAUGCCGCGUACAGAGCGACGCGAUCCCGCGAGGGGGAGCAAAUCGCAAAAAGCGCGGCCCAGUUCGGAUUGUAGGCUGAAACUCG
RNAcentral lists this ribosomal RNA (750 nucleotides) under uncultured Planctomycetota bacterium. Its description in RNAcentral is "bacterial SSU rRNA". It matches the Rfam family "Bacterial small subunit ribosomal RNA", at positions 571 to 1314 of the family's 1533-position model. The record is from RNAcentral. Lineage: Bacteria; Pseudomonadati; Planctomycetota.